Molecule: small nucleolar RNA, 131 nt
Organism: Jaculus jaculus (lesser Egyptian jerboa)
Lineage: Eukaryota; Metazoa; Chordata; Mammalia; Rodentia; Dipodidae
Product: small nucleolar RNA SNORA33
Exons: 1
Source: RefSeq, a predicted model, not a curated record
AAGCCAGCCAAUUCAUCUGCCUAUUGGAAUGUGUUUCUGCAGAAAUUUAGAAGAGGCUGGCAAUAGUAAUUCCAUGUAACAAGCUUUAAGGACAACUACAGUCAUUAAGGUUCCCCAAAAUGCUAAAAUAU